RNAcentral lists this ribosomal RNA (477 nucleotides) under uncultured organism. RNAcentral describes it as "partial 16S ribosomal RNA". It matches the Rfam family "Bacterial small subunit ribosomal RNA", at positions 330 to 798 of the family's 1533-position model. The record is from RNAcentral.
CGUACACUCCUACGGGAGGCAGCAGUGGGGAAUAUUACACAAUGGGCGCAAGCCUGAUGCAGCCAUGCCGCGUGUAUGAAGAAGGCCUUCGGGUUGUAAAGUACUUUCAGCGGGGAGGAAGGCAAUACGGUUAAUAACCGUGUUGAUUGACGUUACCCGCAGAAGAAGCACCGGCUAACUCCGUGCCAGCAGCCGCGGUAAUACGGAGGGUGCAAGCGUUAAUCGGAAUUACUGGGCGUAAAGCGCACGCAGGCGGUCUGUCAAGUCGGAUGUGAAAUCCCCGGGCUCAACCUGGGAACUGCAUUCGAAACUGGCAGGCUUGAGUCUUGUAGAGGGGGGUAGAAUUCCAGGUGUAGCGGUGAAAUGCGUAGAGAUCUGGAGGAAUACCGGUGGCGAAGGCGGCCCCCUGGACAAAGACUGACGCUCAGGUGCGAAAGCGUGGGGAGCAAACAGGAUUAGAUACCCUAGUAGUCCCAU